RNAcentral lists this ribosomal RNA (253 nucleotides) under uncultured bacterium. Its description in RNAcentral is "partial 16S ribosomal RNA". It matches the Rfam family "Bacterial small subunit ribosomal RNA", at positions 524 to 776 of the family's 1533-position model. The record is from RNAcentral.
UACGUAGGCAGCAAGCGUUGUUCGGAAUUACUGGGCGUAAAGAGUGUGUAGGUGGUGUCGUAAGUUUGGUGUGAAAUCUCCCGGCUUAACUGGGAGGGUGCGCCGAAGACUGCGAUGCUGGAGUAUGGGAGAGGAAAGCGGAAUUCCUGGUGUAGCGGUGAAAUGCGCAGAUAUCAGGAGGAACACCGAUGGCGAAGGCAGGUCUCUGGGCCAUAACUGACGCUGAGAAGCGAAAGCAUGGGGAGCGAACAGG